AACAGGCAGAAUACUGGGGCUCACUCCAUCCUCGAGCUCAGAGUAGAUUUUUGAUAAAGUUACUUCGAUGUGGACAAUGCUGACCUUGUUGUGAUGCUUCCGGACAAGUAGCUUCAAAGGCUUUAGUCCUCACAUCAGUUAAGCAACUAGAAUAAAAGAUGGAGCAACCUGUAGUUACUGGCUUGUGGCCCAUUAUACCUUGUCAGGGAAGAGCUCAAACGCAUACCAGCACCCCUUGCAGGAGCAAAUCCAUCCCUUAGAGCCUUUGCCGUGAUGCGUUGAUCAGACUCUUGCAUGAAAAAUGUAACUUGAUUCGAAGAACAAGAGGAGAAUGUACGUUAAGAAGGCCGGCAGUGUUCAGGUUCUUCGUCAACAUGAUAGAGACUAAGAAAAAUAAAAGAGAAAAAGGAACUUGCAAUUUCGAUAAGUG
RNAcentral lists this long non-coding RNA (430 nucleotides) under Selaginella moellendorffii. Its description in RNAcentral is "long non-coding RNA (SMOE_LNC001651)". The record is from RNAcentral. Lineage: Eukaryota; Viridiplantae; Streptophyta; Lycopodiopsida; Selaginellales; Selaginellaceae.